CCUACGGGAGGCAGCAGUGGGGAAUAUUGCGCAAUGGGCGAAAGCCUGACGCAGCGACGCCGCGUGAGGGAUGAAGGUCUUCGGAUCGUAAACCUCUGUCAGCAGGGAAGAACGGUCACUGUGCUAAUCAGCAGUGAAUUGACGGUACCUGCAAAGGAAGCACCGGCUAACUCCGUGCCAGCAGCCGCGGUAAUACGGAGGGUGCGAGCGUUAAUCGGAAUUACUGGGCGUAAAGCGCUCGUAGGCGGUAUGUCAAGUCAAGGGUGAAAUCCCCGCGCUCAACGUGGGAACUGCCUUUGAAACUGGCAAACUGGAGCGUGUGAGAGGAUAAUGGAAUUCCAGGUGUAGGAGUGAAAUCCGUAGAUAUCUGGAGGAACAUCAGUGGCGAAGGCGACUAUCUGGAACAUAACUGACGCUGAGGAGCGAAAGCGUGGGUAGCAAACAGGAUUAGAUACCCCAGUAGUC
RNAcentral lists this ribosomal RNA (465 nucleotides) under uncultured bacterium. RNAcentral describes it as "partial 16S ribosomal RNA". It matches the Rfam family "Bacterial small subunit ribosomal RNA", at positions 338 to 795 of the family's 1533-position model. The record is from RNAcentral.